GGUUGUGUAGUGUAAUGGCUCAUCACUCUGGUUUCUGAUACCAGCAAUCCCGGUUCGAUCCCGGGCACGACCU
Transfer RNA from Penicillium nordicum, 73 nucleotides. It matches the Rfam family "tRNA". From Rfam's summary of the family: Transfer RNA (tRNA) molecules are approximately 80 nucleotides in length. Their secondary structure includes four short double-helical elements and three loops (D, anti-codon, and T loops). Further hydrogen bonds mediate the characteristic L-shaped molecular structure. tRNAs have two regions of fundamental functional importance: the anti-codon, which is responsible for specific mRNA codon recognition, and the 3' end, to which the tRNAs corresponding amino acid is attached (by aminoacyl-tRNA synthetases). tRNAs cope with the degeneracy of the genetic code in two manners: having more than one tRNA (with a specific anti-codon) for a particular amino acid; and 'wobble' base-pairing, i.e. permitting non-standard base-pairing at the 3rd anti-codon position. The record is from Rfam. Lineage: Eukaryota; Fungi; Ascomycota; Eurotiomycetes; Eurotiales; Aspergillaceae.